AAAGUCGUAACAAGGUUUCCGUAGGUGAACCUGCGGAAGGAUCAUUAUUGAAAUAAACCUGAUAAGUUGCUGCUGGUUCUCUAGGGAGCAAUGUGCACACUUGUCAUCUUUGUAUCUUCACCUGUGCACCUUUUGUAGACCUGACUAUCUCUCUGAAUGCUUUUAUUAGCAAUCAGGAUUGGGAAUUGACUUCUUGGUCUUUUCUUAUAUUUUCAGGUCUAUGUUUACUCAUAUACCCUAAUGUAUGUUUAUAGAAUGUCAUUGAUGGGCCUUUGUGCCUAUAAACUUUUACAACUUUCAGCAACGGAUCUCUUGGCUCUCGCAUCGAUGAAGAACGCAGCGAAAUGCGAUAAGUAAUGUGAAUUGCAGAAUUCAGUGAAUCAUCGAAUCUUUGAACGCACCUUGCGCUCCCUGGUAUUCCGAGGAGCAUGCCUGUUUGAGUGUCAUUAAUAUUAUCAACCUUUUUGGUUGGAUGUGGGUUUGCUGGCCUCUUGAGGUCAACUUUCCUAAAAUGCAUUAGCGGACAACAUUUUUGCCAACCGUUCAUUGGUGUGAUAAUUAUCUACGCUAUUGACGUGAAGCAAGGUUCUGCUUCUAAUAGUCCAUUGACUUGGACAAGCCUUCUUUUAUUAAUUUGACCUCAAAUCAGGUAGGACUACCCGCUGAACUUAAGCAUAUCAAUAAGCGGAGGAAAAGAAACUAACAAGGAUUCCCCUAGUAACUGCGAGUGAAGCGGGAAAAGCUCAAUUUAAAAUCUGGCAGUCUUUGGCUGUCCGAGUUGUAAUCUAGAGAAGCAUUAUCCGCG
This 805-nucleotide ribosomal RNA is filed under the name Calonarius aff. callochrous TF2001-049. RNAcentral describes it as "eukaryotic LSU rRNA". The stretch from base 293 to 446 matches the Rfam family "5.8S ribosomal RNA". Lineage: Eukaryota; Fungi; Basidiomycota; Agaricomycetes; Agaricales; Cortinariaceae. The record is from RNAcentral.